Long non-coding RNA from Triticum dicoccoides, 530 nucleotides. RefSeq lists it as uncharacterized. The record is from RefSeq and is a predicted model, not a curated record. The transcript has 2 exons. NCBI's taxonomy places the organism in Eukaryota, Viridiplantae, Streptophyta, Magnoliopsida, Poales, Poaceae.
CCAGGUGCUAAAAUCUUAUGUGUCAAGGGCAUUGUGAUGGCGCGAUCCAUGUCUCCUGCGGGCGCUCAGCAUCCCGGAGCCCCAAAGAGCUGGACAACAAGCUUCACUGGAUGAAAGUGUUUCCCUUCUAAAACGGAGUGCUGCUGACAUGAAUGCACAAGUUAGUCUUGAUACUAAGAUUGUCAUGGAAUUGCUUGAUCUAUGCUAGGUCAAUAUGUCAGCCAACCACUUAAAAAUAAUCAAUUGCAUUUCUUCCUCUGAACUGUGAAACCUGACGAGUGAUGACGCAUCAGCAAUUUAGCAAUAGAAGAUGUCAGUGAACACGAGUACUCAGUCAAGAGCAAUGAAGCCUAGAUACUUUAGAGUGUAAUUUUAUAUAAGAAUAACUAAAUGACACUUAAGUCAUUGAGCAAUUGUUGUUGAGGUAUUGUCUCACCCUUUAUCUGCUCUGUUUUAAACUGUGUAAUGCUAUGGGCUGGAGCUACAGGGGAAGAGGGAGGUAAGCGUGGAUGCAAUGAAUAUUGUUCGGA